UACAGAGGCCCCGAGCAUUACCCGGAAUUAUUGGGCGUAAAGAGUGCGUAGGUGGUCAUGUUAGUCGGUCGUUAAACCCCAGGGCUCAACCCUGGACCUGCGACCGAAACGGCAUGACUCGAGGGCGUGAGAGGUACAUGGAACUCAUGGUGUAGGGGUGAAAUCCGUUGAUAUCAUGGGGAACACCGAAAGCGAAGGCAAUGUACUGGCGCGUUCCUGACACUCAAGCACGAAAGCGUGGGUAGCGAACGGG
This 253-nucleotide ribosomal RNA is filed under the name uncultured bacterium. Its description in RNAcentral is "partial 16S ribosomal RNA". It matches the Rfam family "Bacterial small subunit ribosomal RNA", at positions 524 to 776 of the family's 1533-position model. The record is from RNAcentral.